CCUACGGGAGGCAGCAGUGAGGAAUAUUGGUCAAUGGGCGCGAGCCUGAACCAGCCAAGUAGCGUGAAGGAUGACUGCCCUACGGGUUGUAAACUUCUUUUAUAAAGGAAUAAAGUGAGGCACGUGUGCCUUUUUGUAUGUACUUUAUGAAUAAGGAUCGGCUAACUCCGUGCCAGCAGCCGCGGUAAUACGGAGGAUCCGAGCGUUAUCCGGAUUUUUUGGGUUUAAAGGGAGCGUAGAUGGGUUGUUAAGUCAGUUGUGAAAGUUUGGGGCUCAACCGGAGAAUUGCAAUUGAUACUGGCAGCCUUGAGUACAGGUGAGGUAGGCGGAAUUCGUGGUGUAGCGGUGAAAUGCUUAGAUAGCACGAAGAACUCCGAUUGCGAAGGCAGCCUACUAGACUGCCACUGACAUUGAUGCUCGAAAGUGUGGGUAUCAAACAGGAUUAGAUACCCCUGUAGUC
This 460-nucleotide ribosomal RNA is filed under the name uncultured bacterium. Its description in RNAcentral is "partial 16S ribosomal RNA". It matches the Rfam family "Bacterial small subunit ribosomal RNA", at positions 338 to 795 of the family's 1533-position model. The record is from RNAcentral.